AGCGAACGCUGGCGGCGUGCCUAACACAUGCAAGUCGAACGAGAAAGGGAGCAAUCCCAAGUAAAGUGGCUUACGGGUGAGUAACACGUAAGUAAUCUACCCCAGAAUCUGGAAUAACCGGCCGCAAGGCUGGCUAAUACUGGAUAGAGCGACGGAUUCCGUAAUUGGGUUUUUCGUGGAAGGGAGCCUGUAUGAAGGCAUUCGUUCUUGGAUCAGCCUGCGUCCCGUCAGGUAGUUGGUUAGGUAAAAGCUUACCAAGGGAAAGACGGGUAGCUGGACUGGGAGGACGAUUAGCCAACCUUGAACUGAAACACCGGCCAGACUCCUAAGGGAAGCAGCAGUGGGGAAUUCUUCGCAAAGGACGAAAGGCUGAAGCAGCAACGCCGCGUGAGUGAAGAAGGGCUUCGGGUUGUAAAGACCUUGCGAGUGGGACGAAAAUGCUUGGAGUUCACAGCUCCAGGAACUGACGGUACCACUAAAGGAAGCACCGGCUAACUCCGUG
Molecule: ribosomal RNA, 502 nt
Filed under: uncultured bacterium
Lineage: Bacteria
Description: partial 16S ribosomal RNA
Rfam family: Bacterial small subunit ribosomal RNA
Source: RNAcentral